This 307-nucleotide ribosomal RNA is filed under the name Peripatopsis sedgwicki. RNAcentral's name for it is "partial 12S ribosomal RNA". Lineage: Eukaryota; Metazoa; Onychophora; Udeonychophora; Euonychophora; Peripatopsidae. The record is from RNAcentral.
GAACUUAAUAAUUUGACGGUAUUUAAUAUCAUAAAGGAACUUGUAAUUUAAUCGUCAAUACACGUUUUAUCUCACUUAAUAAAACUUGUAUACCUCCGUUAAAGAUAUUAUUAGAAAUAAAAAUAAAUAUCAAAAAAAUAUUAAAAAAAUUAAUAAAUCAGGUCAAGGUGCAGUUUUUUAAGUUAUUAUGAGCUACAUUCAAAAAAUAUAGAUGAAUUUACUUUUGAAAAAAACCAAUGAAAACGAAUUUAUAAAUAAAGCAAAAUUAGCAUAUUUACUUGAAAAAUUAUUAAAUAUGUACACAUCG